GAACUGUUAGCUCAGUUGGUUCAGAGCGCCGCCUUGACAGGGCGGAGGUCGCCGGUUCGACCCCGGCACAGUUCA
This 75-nucleotide transfer RNA is filed under the name Tannerella sp. RNAcentral describes it as "tRNA-Val". The record is from RNAcentral. Lineage: Bacteria; Pseudomonadati; Bacteroidota; Bacteroidia; Bacteroidales; Tannerellaceae.